CAGCAGUAGGGAAUCUUCCGCAAUGGACGAAAGUCUGACGGAGCAACGCCGCGUGAGUGAUGAAGGCUUUCGGGUCGUAAAACUCUGUUGUUAGGGAAGAACAAGUGCUAGUUGAAUAAGCUGGCACCUUGACGGUACCUAACCAGAAAGCCACGGCUAACUACGUGCCAGCAGCCGCGGUAAUACGUAGGUGGCAAGCGUUAUCCGGAAUUAUUGGGCGUAAAGCGCGCGCAGGUGGUUUCUUAAGUCUGAUGUGAAAGCCCACGGCUCAACCGUGGAGGGUCAUUGGAAACUGGGAGACUUGAGUGCAGAAGAGGAAAGUGGAAUUCCAUGUGUAGCGGUGAAAUGCGUAGAGAUAUGGAGGAACACCAGUGGCGAAGGCGACUUUCUGGUCUGUAACUGACACUGAGGCGCGAAAGCGUGGGGAGCAAACAGGAUUAGAUACCCUGGUAGUCCACGCCGUAAACGAUGAGUGCUAAGUGUUAGAGGGUUUCCGCCCUUUAGUGCUGAAGUUAACGCAUUAAGCACUCCGCCUGGGGAGUACGGCCGCAAGGCUGAAACUCAAAGGAUU
This 571-nucleotide ribosomal RNA is filed under the name Bacillus cereus. Its description in RNAcentral is "bacterial SSU rRNA". It matches the Rfam family "Bacterial small subunit ribosomal RNA", at positions 349 to 910 of the family's 1533-position model. Lineage: Bacteria; Bacillati; Bacillota; Bacilli; Caryophanales; Bacillaceae. The record is from RNAcentral.